This 406-nucleotide ribosomal RNA is filed under the name uncultured bacterium. RNAcentral's name for it is "partial 16S ribosomal RNA". It matches the Rfam family "Bacterial small subunit ribosomal RNA", at positions 30 to 526 of the family's 1533-position model. The record is from RNAcentral.
AUUGAACGCUGGCGGCAGGCCUAACACAUGCAAGUCGAACGAGUGGCGGACGGGUGAGUAAUGUCUGGGAAUCUGCCUGAUGGAGGGGGAUAACUACUGGAAACUGUAGCUAACACCGCAUACCAUCAGAUGCGCCCAGAUGGGAUUAGCUUGUUGGUGGGGUAACGGCUCACCAAGGCAACGACCCCUAGCUGGUCGGAGAGGAUGACCAGCAACACUGGGACUGAGACACGGUCCAGACUCCUACGGGAGGCAGCAGUGGGGAAUAUUGCACAAUGGGCGCAAGCCUGAUGCAGCCAUGCCGCGUGUAUGAAGAAGGCCUUCGGGUUGUAAAGUACUUUCAGCGGGGAGGCGUUACCCACAGAAGAAGCACCGGCUAACUCCGUGCCAGCAGCCGCGGUAAUUC